RNAcentral lists this ribosomal RNA (305 nucleotides) under uncultured bacterium. RNAcentral's name for it is "bacterial SSU rRNA". It matches the Rfam family "Bacterial small subunit ribosomal RNA", at positions 334 to 636 of the family's 1533-position model. The record is from RNAcentral.
UUGUCCUACGGGGGGCAGCAGUGAGGAAUAUUGGUCAAUGGGCUUACGCCUGAACCAGCCAAGUCGCGUGAGGGAAGACUGCCCUAUGGGUUGUAAACCUCUUUUGUCAGGGAGCAACGCCGACUACGUGUAGCCGGACUGAGAGUACCUGAAGAAAAAGCAUCGGCUAACUCCGUGCCAGCAGCCGCGGUAAUACGGAGGAUGCGAGCGUUAUCCGGAUUUAUUGGGUUUAAAGGGUGCGUAGGCGGGCAUUUAAGCCGGCGGUCAAAUGUCGGGGCUCAACCCCGGCCUGCCGUCGGAACUGG